AAAAAAGUACGUUGGUUCUUGAGAUGUAGCAAAACUCGACGUCGGUUGUAGCUAAGUGGUGUGUCCGUUAUAACAUAAUAUGGUACCGAUUGUAGCAUGUAACAUAAAACGUGACGUAUGCAGCGUUGCUCGUAACAGUGUCGAUGUCCUCGCAGCUCACGGUCAUCAUGCUCGCCGUCCAUGAUGGCAGCUCUCCUGGACACCGCUUGCAGCAGACCACGACGCGGUUCCAGCUUACGCCUAGGCCGGUUGCAACACGUCUCACUGUGGGUGCAUCUUCUCCGGUGAUAGAUCGCCGCUCGUAGUUCAUGCUCGUCGGAGCGUGCAGCACGACCCGAAGGGCAACGGGGUGUAGGGUCGCAUGGCCAGGACGUCGCCCCAGGCGAGCGAUUGUCCGUCGUGGCUGGUUGCGGCACGCAGUCCUAGCCCGUCCUGACUCGAGACCGAUGACCUUACCUUCGAGCAACAGAUGACUGAUGUGUGGUGG
This 487-nucleotide long non-coding RNA is filed under the name Hordeum vulgare. RNAcentral's name for it is "long non-coding RNA (HVUL_LNC001409)". Lineage: Eukaryota; Viridiplantae; Streptophyta; Magnoliopsida; Poales; Poaceae. The record is from RNAcentral.